Molecule: ribosomal RNA, 119 nt
Filed under: Pteropus alecto (black flying fox)
Lineage: Eukaryota; Metazoa; Chordata; Mammalia; Chiroptera; Pteropodidae
Source: RNAcentral
GACUAUGGCCAUGCUACCCCAAACAAGCUCGAUCUCGUCUGAUCUCAGAAGCUAAGCAGGGUUGGGCCUGGUUAGUACUUGCAUAGGAGACCACCUAGGAAGACCAGGUACUGUAGGUG